This is a long non-coding RNA of Sebastes umbrosus (honeycomb rockfish), 788 nucleotides long. RefSeq lists it as uncharacterized. The record is from RefSeq and is a predicted model, not a curated record. NCBI's taxonomy places the organism in Eukaryota, Metazoa, Chordata, Actinopteri, Perciformes, Sebastidae. The transcript is spliced from 3 exons.
UCAGAUGAGGACUCAGCUUGUUAUUGAGGACGAGAUCCAGUUGCAGAUGACAGCUGAGUGCAAACUGAGACAGACAAGAACAGCUCUGCUCCUGAUUCACCGCUGAGGCCACAGAUCUACAACCCUGAGAGUGAAAUGGUGUGAUUGAUCAUCAAUGCCUGCAGGUACGUGGUGCUGAAGAUCCGGGCUGCAGUGAGGGGCGAGUCGCAGCCAGAGAAAUCUUCAUCAUCAUGUAACCAGGCAAAAGGACAAAUGGACGGCAGGAUGAAUGCCGAUGGGUCAUCCUUGAUUCCCCAACCCACACAGACAGUCGAUGUCCUGCAGAAGGAAGAGUGUGGAUCCUGAAAGUAAACCGAGAGCCGGAGGGUAGUGUGGAAGGUCUAUCUGUAACAUCAUACACACAUGAGAUUCAUGGGUUAAUUCAUUAACUAAUGCAAAUGGGUCUGUCUGUGUUCCCGCCACAAUCUCACCACGCAAACACAGACACUUCCAUUCAUUAAAAACCCAGACAAAUCAACUCUGAACUGAGAUGGACUCCCGCCUGCUUCCAGCUCUCGGUUUUCUUUUUUCCCUGCUCGUCCUUCAUCCAGUGGAGAGGGCAGUCCGAGUUGGCAGAGAGAAUGAAAGGCUGAUCACCAAUUCCCCCUACAGAGGAACGGAUCAGUCUGGAUAAAGACUCUGCUGAUAAAGCUGCGCCAAGUCAUAAUUAUAUUCAUGUAUUCACAGGCCUGUUGUUUUUCUCGGUCACUGUAAUAGUUUUCAGUAAAAAAACAAGAGCAUAAAUCUUG